RNAcentral lists this ribosomal RNA (253 nucleotides) under uncultured bacterium. RNAcentral's name for it is "partial 16S ribosomal RNA". It matches the Rfam family "Bacterial small subunit ribosomal RNA", at positions 524 to 776 of the family's 1533-position model. The record is from RNAcentral.
UACAUGGGGUGCAAACGUUGCUCGGAAUCAUUGGGCGUAAAGCGCACGUAGGCGGUUCGUUAUGUCGGAUGUGAAAGCCCUCGGCUUAACCGGGGAAGUGCAUCCGAAACUGGCGAGCUUGAGUACUAAAGAGGGUCGCGGAAUUCCCGGUGUAGAGGUGAAAUUCGUAGAUAUCGGGAGGAACACCAGUGGCGAAGGCGGCGAUCUGGGAAGAUACUGACGCUGAGGUGCGAAAGCGUGGGGAGCAAACAGG